Cyprinus carpio carpio is the source of this 446-nucleotide long non-coding RNA. NCBI's taxonomy places the organism in Eukaryota, Metazoa, Chordata, Actinopteri, Cypriniformes, Cyprinidae. The record is from Ensembl.
GGUCAGUCUGAGGUGAGUGUGAGAUCAAUCUGAGGACAAAGGUCAGUCCGAGGUCAGUCUGAGGUCAAUGUGAGGACAGAGGUAAGUGUGGGGUCAGAGGUCAGUGUGAGGUCUGUGGUCAACAUGAGAUCGGUGUGAGGUCAGAUCUGAGGUGAGUGUGAGGUCAAUCUGAGGUCAAAGGACAGUGUGAGGUCAAUCCGAGGUCAGUGUGAGGUCAGUGGUCAAUCUGAGGUCAAUGUGAAGACAGAAGUAAUUGUGGGGUCAGAGGUCAUUGUGAGGUCAGUCUAAGGUCAGUCUGAGUUCAGUGUGAGAUCUGUGUGAGGUCUUAGGUCAAUCUGAAGUCACUGUGAGGUCAGAGGUCAAUGUGAGGUUAGUGUGAGUUCAGUGUGAGAUCAGUCUGAGGUCAAAGGUCAGUCUGAGGUCAAUCCAAGGCAGUGUGAGGUCAG